UUUUUUAUUUUUUUGAGACAGGGUCUUGCUCUGUUACCCAGGCUGGACUGCAGUGGUGUGAUCAUGGCUCACUGCAGCCUCAUCCUCCUGGGCUCAAGCAAUCCUCCUGCCUCAGUCUCCCGAGUAGCUGGGAGCACAGGUGCACACAACCACAUCCAGCUACAUUUUUUUUAUUUAUUUAUUUUUUAGAGAUGAUGUUGGCCAGGCUGGCCUUAAACUCCUGGGUUCAAGUGAUCCUCCCACGUCAGCCUCCCAAAGUGCAGGGAUUACAGAUGAGAGCCACUGCACCUGGCCCAGUGCUCAGUUUUAACUGAGGGAAGAGAGUGACAGUGGGGAGAGGAAGGAGGGUUUGUGGCUUGGGCAACUGACUAGAUGGUGGUGUCAGGCACGGAACGGGGCGCAGGUUGCAGGGAGGCUGAAUUUGAGGUGUGGCUUGCAUGCCUCUGACAGUGCCCAUGUGCUAAUCCCUGGGAUCUGUGAAUAUGUUCCCUUACCUGGCAAAGAAAUUCUGCAGAUGUGUUUAAAUUAAGGAUGUUGAGAUGGGAAGAGGAUCCUGGGUUGUCCAGGUGGCCCAACGUAGUCACAAGAGUUUUUGUAAGAGGGAGGCAGGAGAAUCAGAGAGAUGGGAAGAUGCUCGUCUGUGGGCCUGAAGAUGGAGGGGGGGCCAUGAGUUAAAGAAUGCAGGCGGCCUCUAGAAGAUGCAAAAGGCAAGACACGGAUUCUCUUCUAGGUCUUCCAGGAGGAACCAGCUUGCUGACACACCUGAUUUGUAGACCAGGGAGAGCCAUUUUGGACCUCUGACCUCCAGAACCGGGAAAAAGGAGUCAGAGAGCAAGAGACGGCUGUUACCUCCAGCUUUCAAACCCAGUCUAAUCAUGAAGCCUCAUAAAAGAAGAAACAGAGAAGAGGCAGCACGAAGACGUGGCCAGGAAGGGCAGGGAGACAAGG
This is a long non-coding RNA of Symphalangus syndactylus (siamang), 948 nucleotides long. RefSeq lists it as uncharacterized. Lineage: Eukaryota; Metazoa; Chordata; Mammalia; Primates; Hylobatidae. The record is from RefSeq and is a predicted model, not a curated record.